UACGGGGGGAGCAAGCGUUGUUCGGAUUUACUGGGCGUAAAAGGGCGCGGUAGGCGGAUCGUGACAAGUCACUUGUGAAAUCUCCGGGCUUAACGUCGGAACGGUCAAGUGAUACUGUCGGACUAGAGUACAGAAGGGGCAACUGGGAAUUCUCGGUGUAGCGGUGAAAUGCGUAGAUAUCGAGAGGAACACCUGCGGCGA
This 201-nucleotide ribosomal RNA is filed under the name uncultured bacterium. RNAcentral describes it as "partial 16S ribosomal RNA". It matches the Rfam family "Bacterial small subunit ribosomal RNA", at positions 524 to 718 of the family's 1533-position model. The record is from RNAcentral.